GGACCCGCACAAGCGGUGGAUGAUGUGGAUUAAUUCGAUGCAACGCGAAAAACCUUACCUACGCUUGACAUGCCAGGAACCUUGCUGAAAGGUGAGGGUGCUCGAAAGAGAGCCUGGACACAGGUGCUGCAUGGCUGUCGUCAGCUCGUGUCGUGAGAUGUUGGGUUAAGUCCCGCAACGAGCGCAACCCUUAUCAUUAGUUGCUACGAAAGGGCACUCUAAUGAGACUGCCGGUGACAAACCGGAGGAAGGUGGGGAUGACGUCAAGUCCUCAUGGCCCUUAUGCGUAGGGCUUCACACGUCAUACAAUGGUCGGUACAGAGGGUUGCCAACCCGCGAGGGGGAGCCAAUCCCAUAAAACCGAUCGUAGUCCGGAUUGCAGUCUGCAACUCGACUGCAUGAAGUCGGAAUCGCUAGUAAUCGCGGAUCAGCAUGUCGCGGUGAAUACGUUCCCGGGUCUU
RNAcentral lists this ribosomal RNA (461 nucleotides) under uncultured bacterium. RNAcentral's name for it is "bacterial SSU rRNA". It matches the Rfam family "Bacterial small subunit ribosomal RNA", at positions 917 to 1382 of the family's 1533-position model. The record is from RNAcentral.